CGUCGGACCUUUCGAUGUCCGUAAACAAAACUAUUGAAAAUAACAAAAAAAAAUAUGGCUGUUACUUAAACAUGUCUUGUCAAACGAGUAAAUCAAAUCCGCCUUGCGCAAUUGAAUGGUCAAGUGACAACGAUUAUUUGAGAUACGUUUAUAGCAGCAACUGGGCGAAUGCUGACAGUGGGAAUGAUCGUUCUGUUUCCAACGUGCUUUACAAUGUCACAAAUGAUAUGGCUGGAGGAACAAUUACAUGAUCAACAAGAUGCGAUCAUUUUACGUCUAAUGUAAAUAAAAACUAUGAGUUAUCUUGUUCAGAUAUCCCUUUAUGUCUUUUUAUGGAGACAUCUAUUGUAAAAGAAAGCAAUCCUGAAAUUCUUAACUUAACGUGCAAUACUGGUCCAACAUGCAUGCCUUGUGCAAUAUCAUGGACUACAAACUUCGUCUUUCUUCACCCAAUAUCGAUAUCGCAAUGGACAAAGAACAGUGGUCUGGGCAUUAUAAGUGUUUCAAAUGCUCUAUUCAUCCUAACAAAAGAUGUGGACGGGAAACGGAUACAGUGUUCUGCAAAGUGUGGGAACGAUUCAUCUGAUAUAAUACAUGAAACAUACACUAUUGUGUUUGAGGCUUUUCAAGAAGCAGCUACCAACCCUGCAUCCGUUGUAGCCCUACAGUUUCACGUGUCGGUCCUGUACGCGUUAUCUGGAACCAUUAUACUUUUAUUCAUAACAAAGUUGACAUUGCUUCUAUUUCGUCGAUGCAAAUCUCAGGCGUAUGAAAUGUUUCUACGCCGAAGAAAAACUGCAUAUAUCGACCCAAGCAGCCAUUUGUACGACGCUGUUCAGUCUACUGUUGAGGCAACGAUGCUUCACGAUAUAAGAAGAAUAUCUGCAAGUGCCUCUGAGAACAUAUCUCCACUAUCGGCUACAGAAGAACACCAAGCCCCUUCAAACAGGAACGUUUGCCACUACGACUAUGUGGAUAUUCCAUCCGACCAACAAACCCAUGAGACAAUUACACAGGCUGAGUCUUACAUUCACGCGAUAUAAAGCAACUAAUCCAACCAAAUUGUUACAGAAGGCACAACCAAUACUAUUUUUAUCAAUAUUCCUAAAGAUAUUUUAAUAUGAACUUUCUAAUCUUUGAGUCGAACUGGAUAUUCUUGUUGUUUUGAACAUCUUUCGAACGUAUUGGGUUUAGUUAGUCAUGUUUUGUAUUUCGGUUGUAUCCAAUGUUCAAUAUCCCUAAGUAUUUCUCGAGGUUAAACGACUUUGACAUAGUGAGUUUUGACUGUAUGUUAAAUAGUUCUAAAACAUGUGAGGUUUGACUGUAUGUUAUAUAGUUCCAAAACAUGCGAGGUUUGACUGUAUGUUAUAUAGUUCUAAAACAUGUGAGUUUUGACUGUAUGUUAUAUAGUCCUAAAACAUGUGAGUUUUGUCUGUAUGUUAUAUAGUCCUAAAACAUGUGAGUUUUGACUGUAUAUUAUAUAGUUCUAAAACAUUUUGUAAACACACGGCAUACCUUUGAAUAUACAAUUUACACUUCGACUCCUAACUUAAUAACAUUUAUUCCAUAAAAAAUAAGAUAUGUCUACUGCAGGUGUGUGAUUAGAUCAAACAUAAUAUAUUUAGGCUAGUCCUUAGGUUAGUAUAUUUAACAAAUGCUUUUAAAUCUGGUUCGUUAUGUUAAGCCAUGAGCCGAAAUAUUUGUAUACUAAUUGAAACAAUACAUGAUCACAUCUUAUAUUUCAUUUAAUAGUGAUUGUAAUUAAAUUGUACUUAUAAUCAUAAUGUAAUUAUGUCUCAGUACAAACUAGUUGUUUAAAUGUA
Molecule: long non-coding RNA, 1823 nt
Organism: Mya arenaria
Lineage: Eukaryota; Metazoa; Mollusca; Bivalvia; Myida; Myidae
Exons: 5
Source: RefSeq, a predicted model, not a curated record